CUGGUGCUGCUGACCAGCCCGCCGCACAGCCGCUCCUCUCCAGGUCUUCCGUUCCCUCCGCACGGACCCAGGACUGCACUCAGGGCUCUCCACAACGGAAUCCAUAAAUUCAGAGAGACAAGAGGACCGAUGACACACUGAGACCAAGAUCCCCACUCCAGCUCCAGGGACAUCCAUCUUCUACCUCUGGCAGCUUCUCUUGGGGAUCUCCAAGCCAGUCUCUCAACACCCGCCGGCCUCUUCAAAAACCGUGCGCUUUUCGGUGACGCGGGCUUCGAGCGCCACCCAGCGGCAUUUGUGGCGACGUUCAACAGCAGCAUGCGCCCUUUCAGCUACACUUUUCCUUACCCCCUUUGAAACUCCCAAUAUCCACCCAUCGCGGUGCCACUAAUAAAAAGCCCUUACG
This 406-nucleotide long non-coding RNA is filed under the name Urocitellus parryii (Arctic ground squirrel). RNAcentral describes it as "lncRNA (ENSUPAG00010010334.1)". The record is from RNAcentral. Lineage: Eukaryota; Metazoa; Chordata; Mammalia; Rodentia; Sciuridae.